This 119-nucleotide ribosomal RNA is filed under the name Pistia stratiotes (water lettuce). Lineage: Eukaryota; Viridiplantae; Streptophyta; Magnoliopsida; Alismatales; Araceae. The record is from RNAcentral.
GGGUGCGAUCAUACCAGCACUAAUGCACCAGAUCCCAUCAGAACUCCGAAGUUAAGCGUGCUUGGGCGAGAGUAGUACUAGGGUGGGUGACCUCCUGGGAAGUCCUCGUGUUGCACCCC